CCCGGUUCGCCGGGACGAAAUGUGGUCGGGAUUUUCCGACUGAAUCGCAAG
This 51-nucleotide non-coding RNA is filed under the name unclassified sequences. Its description in RNAcentral is "eL15-Euryarchaeota ribosomal protein leader". It matches the Rfam family "eL15-Euryarchaeota ribosomal protein leader". The record is from RNAcentral.